This 154-nucleotide ribosomal RNA is filed under the name uncultured Streptococcus sp. Its description in RNAcentral is "partial 16S ribosomal RNA". It matches the Rfam family "Bacterial small subunit ribosomal RNA", at positions 1231 to 1382 of the family's 1533-position model. The record is from RNAcentral. Lineage: Bacteria; Bacillati; Bacillota; Bacilli; Lactobacillales; Streptococcaceae.
UGGUUGGUACAACGGAGUUGCGAGUCGGUGACGGCGAGCUAAUCUACUUAAAGCCAAUCUCAGUUCGGAUUGUAGGCUGCAACUCGCCUACAUGAAGUCGGAAUCGCUAGUAAUCGCGGAUCAGCACGCCGCGGUGAAUACGUUCCCGGGCCUU